AAAAUGACUGGAGGAAUGUAGCUUCGAUCUCGUAUUGAAGUGUUAUAGCUUUGGUAGAUGUGAUGUUUGAGACCGAGGAUUGCAACGGAUACCCAUUCAGGGCUAUUCUCUGAUCUCUGAUACGUUGCCUUGAUGUUGAAAGCUUGCUUAUGAUGUUAGGGUAUUACGUCAAAAGGUUAGAACGAAUUACAUUCGUUAAGGAUGUUGACGUAAUGACUUUAAACGA
This 226-nucleotide ribosomal RNA is filed under the name uncultured Glomeromycotina. RNAcentral's name for it is "partial 28S ribosomal RNA". The record is from RNAcentral. Lineage: Eukaryota; Fungi; Glomeromycota.